This 102-nucleotide small nucleolar RNA is filed under the name Cephalotus follicularis. RNAcentral describes it as "Plant small nucleolar RNA R71". It matches the Rfam family "Plant small nucleolar RNA R71". From Rfam's summary of the family: R71 is a member of the C/D box family of snoRNAs containing the C (UGAUGA) and D (CUGA) box motifs. Multiple nearly identical copies of this snoRNA have been identified in Arabidopsis, and it is thought to function as a 2'-O-ribose methylation guide for 18S ribosomal RNA. Lineage: Eukaryota; Viridiplantae; Streptophyta; Magnoliopsida; Oxalidales; Cephalotaceae. The record is from Rfam by way of RNAcentral.
ACGGCGUGAUGGGGACAUUUCCGGAUAAGAUCUUUUAAUCUUUCCCAUGACUCAUGGAACUGCUCACCAUCUUGUUGUGAAAAGCUAGUGAGAGCUCGCCUU